RNAcentral lists this long non-coding RNA (1016 nucleotides) under Macaca fascicularis (crab-eating macaque). Its description in RNAcentral is "lncRNA (ENSMFAG00000063153.1)". The record is from RNAcentral. Lineage: Eukaryota; Metazoa; Chordata; Mammalia; Primates; Cercopithecidae.
UUUUUCCUCUUCUGGAUGUUCCUCUAAGUUCUUGGAGCAAGAGCUUGGAAGGAUAGGAAACCUGUCUCCUGGGUCUGAGCAAAUGGUUCAUCAAAACAGCAUCACCAGACUCCCUUCCAGCUUCCAGCUUCAACAUCUAUCCCUGUCUCCCAAGACCCAUGGAAGCUGGACUUGGCCAGAUGUCAAAAGAUGAUGCCAAAACAGCUGCAGAUGGGAAAGAAGGCGGCGUGGACAGACUCCAGGAUGCACAUCUGAAACAGGCUCUUCAUUUUGUUUUCACUACAGGCUCCUGUUUCGCCUUUUCAAAAAGCAGUUGAAAUUUCCCUUACUUCUUGGAAAUCCAGAAAUACAGCAAAGAUACAUUUUAUAUAGGCGUUAGCUAUUCAGCAGGAGGGAGCUUGAAAAUAUCUCUAUACUCUACGAUUUUCCACCAUGCUGCCUGGAAGUGAAAGUCUAGCCAAACAGUUUAACAGGAAAACCAUUAGCCGUCCUGUGGAGGUUAAUUUUGCAGUUUAUUUUGGAAUGGAAAAAAAGCACGUAUUAAGAUAGGAAACUCAUGUCUACAUGCUAGAAUCUAAAUUUCUUAACUUUCUGUAGUAUGAGCCAUUUUCAAAUCUGGUAAAGUCAUAAAACCAGACUAUUCAAAACGCACACUUCUAAGCUCAAUAUUAAAUGUUUAAAGUGACUAACGUAAGAGUUGGAGAGUCAGGAUCCCCCUGGACUUUUCGAACUUCUACCCUCACAAAGAAAUCUAGAGUUUCUUCUCAGUAAAAAAAAAACCAAAAGUGACAUAUAAUCAUUUUUCCUUGUUAGUAAAUAAUCUCUAUCCAUCAUGGCAUUGCAUUUAAUUUGUGUUAAUUAUUCCCCCAAACUUUGGGGGAAUUGCCCAAAUAUAACACGGGGCUGAAAUAUUGGACAGCCAAAAAUAUCACCCAUGUUCAAAAUAUGCAUCGUGAUAUCAUUCAGUUCGACGUGUUCUAGUUCUUCCGCAGCCUCCUGCCUCGUUCCCUUUGCCC